UGUAUUUAUUAGAUAAAAAACCAAUGCCAUUCGGGGCUUUUUGGUGAUUCAUGAUAACUUUACGGAUCGCAUAGCCUUGCGCUGGAGACGGUUCAUUCAAAUUUAUGCCCUAUCAACUUGUGAUGGUAAGGUAUUGGCUUACCAUGGUUUCAACGGGUAACGGGGAAUUAGGGUUCGAUUCGGGAGAGGGAGCUUGAGAAACGGCUACCACAUCCAAGGAAGGCAGCAGGCGCGCAAAUUACCCAAUCCCGACACGGGGAGGUAGUGACAAUAAAUAGUGAUACAGGGCUCCUUUGGGUCUUGUAAUUGGAAUGAGUACAAUUUAAACCUCUUAACGAGGAACAAUUGGAGGGCAAGUAUGGUGCCAGCAGCCGCGGUAAUUCCAGCUCCAAUAGCGUAUAUUAAAGUUGUUGCAGUUAAAAAGCUCGUAGUUGAAACUUGGGCCUGGCUGGCGGGUCCGCCUCACCGCGUGCACUCGUCCGGCCGGGCCUUCCUUCUGAAGAACCUCAUGCCCUUCACUGGGCGUGCUGGGGAACCAGG
Molecule: ribosomal RNA, 540 nt
Filed under: uncultured eukaryote
Lineage: Eukaryota
Description: SSU rRNA
Rfam family: Eukaryotic small subunit ribosomal RNA
Source: RNAcentral